CCUACGGGAGGCAGCAGUGAGGAAUAUUGGUCAAUGGACGCAAGUCUGAACCAGCCAUGCCGCGUGCAGGAUGACGGCUCUAUGAGUUGUAAACUGCUUUUGUACGAGGGUAAACCCCGAUACGUGUAUCGGGUUGAAAGUAUCGUACGAAUAAGGAUCGGCUAAUUCCGUGCCAGCAGCCGCGGUAAUAUGGAGGAUCCGAGCGUUACCCGGAUUUAUUGGGUUUAAAGGGUGCGUAGGCGGUUUGAUAAGUUAGAGGUGAAAUGGCGGAGCUCAACCCCGAAACUGCGUCUAGUACUGGUGGACUAGAGAGUAGUUACGGUAGGCGGAAUGUAUGGUGUAGCGGUGAAAUGCUUAGAUAUCAUACAGAACACCGAUUGCGAAGGCAGCUUACCAAACUAUAACUGACGUUGAGGCACGAAGGCGUGGGUAGCAAACAGGAUUAGAUACCCGUGUAGUC
Molecule: ribosomal RNA, 460 nt
Filed under: uncultured bacterium
Lineage: Bacteria
Description: partial 16S ribosomal RNA
Rfam family: Bacterial small subunit ribosomal RNA
Source: RNAcentral